CCCUAGGAUAUAUUAAAUGGCUGCGGUAUUUUGACUGUGCAAAGGUAGCAUAAUCAUUAGUUUUUUAAUUGAAAGCUGGAUGAAUGGGUGAAUGAAAUAUAUAUUUUAUUAAAUUUAUGAUUAAAAUUAAAAUUUUAAGUUAAAAGGUUAAUANUUUAAAGGGACGAAAGACCCCUAUAGAACUUACACAAUAGUUAUAAGGAAUAAUUUAANAUAAAUAUAUUCUAUGGUUUGCAGGGGUGGUAAAUAAAUUUAAACCUUAAUUUUUNUANCCAUAAUAAAUGUAAAUAAAUGUUCAUNAGAUAANAAAAUAACCUUACCGGAGGGAUAACAGCGUAUUAUUAAUGGACAGUUCAAAUCUAUAUUUAGCAUCCCCACCUCUAUGUUGAAUUAAAAUAANUUGGGAAGCUUAUUUCUUAGNUCUGAGCCUGUUCGACUAUCAAACUCUAACUGGAUCCGAACCGGGACCGG
This 471-nucleotide ribosomal RNA is filed under the name Paivanana centrifascia. Its description in RNAcentral is "partial 16S ribosomal RNA". Lineage: Eukaryota; Metazoa; Arthropoda; Insecta; Hemiptera; Cicadellidae. The record is from RNAcentral.